This 70-nucleotide transfer RNA is filed under the name Promethearchaeota archaeon. RNAcentral describes it as "Candidatus Lokiarchaeota archaeon (anaerobic digester metagenome) tRNA-Arg". It matches the Rfam family "tRNA". From Rfam's summary of the family: Transfer RNA (tRNA) molecules are approximately 80 nucleotides in length. Their secondary structure includes four short double-helical elements and three loops (D, anti-codon, and T loops). The record is from RNAcentral. Lineage: Archaea; Promethearchaeati; Promethearchaeota.
GGGGAUGUAAUUCAGCCUGGUAAAACCCGUUUCGACCGGCUAGUCAGGGGUUCAACUCCCCUCGUCCCCA